This 1452-nucleotide long non-coding RNA is filed under the name Pan troglodytes (chimpanzee). RNAcentral describes it as "long non-coding RNA NONPTRT012900". Lineage: Eukaryota; Metazoa; Chordata; Mammalia; Primates; Hominidae. The record is from RNAcentral.
CUAUUGCCCAGUGUCACCAGACAGGCUGUGUGGUGUCCAUCAUGGGCAGAAGGAGACCCCUGCCAAGGAUUCACGCUCAUGACCAGCAACUCCGGGCACAAGCAGAGCGACAGGCAGUGAACUUCGUGGUGCAAGGCUCUGCUGCUGACCUCUGCAAGCUGGCCAUGAUCCAUGUCUUCACUGCAGUGGCUGCUUCCCACACCUUGACGGCCAGAUUAACAAAAUCUGAGCUGCAAGAAAAUAGGGUGCCGAUUUCUGUACAGUCUACAAAACUCCCAUCCCCAAGCGGGGACCGGGCACCUCCAGGGAGGAAUGUACAGGGGAGUGGGGUCUGUACAGUGCUCUGCACACCUCAAUUGCUAACAGGACAAAAGGCCCUUGGACGCAGGGCUUCUCUGUCCCCUCGCUCACUUCUGAAGCGCCUCGUGAGAAGCAUCCCUCCAUGGCCCUGCACGUGGCCUUGAUGCCUGGGACCCAGUUCCGUGGCCCACCCUGCCUGCCACGACCCCUCCCCAAUUCCCCCACACAAAGGGGUCUGGGCAAGUGUUUAUUCUUCUCCUGCCACCAAAGCCAGGUCCACUUCUAAGCUGAAUGUGCAGCCUGUGCCACCCUCCACCUCUGUCUCCCCUUCCAGGCCACCCCCCCCCCCCCCGUCCAGGGCAGCCCCUGCCUGUGACCUCAGGAAGGAGAGACCAGGAGCAUGGCCAGCAGAAGCCGAGGCGGCCACCCCUCUUCCCACCCAGCCCAAGGCAGCGCCCUGCCCCUCCUCCCAGAGGCUGCGGACUCCCUUGCCCCCCACACUGCCCACCCUGCAGGCCGGGGCUGGGAGGCGUGCUCCAUGGCGGGAAAUGACAUCCAAUCAGGGUUUCCCUCCAGGUUUCCAACAGCAAAACGCUCCACCCACCCGGCCACCCACCCCCAUCACACUGGGCCAGAAACUGUCUUAGGGUACAAACUACCGUUUUGUCCCAAGAAUUAAAGUCAUGCAGAGUGCUAUUCUGUCUAAAUAACUUAUUAGAAAAUGUGUUGGUUUCAGGCUGGGAGAAGCUGUGGGCUGGAGGCUGUUGGCAGCAGCCUGGGCUGGUAAGAUUCACAGGGUGGACCGUCAGCCAGAGGCAGGAGGUCCCCGGGGACAUCUGGGAGAGGCCACCACGAUCCAGUGGGCACUGGGGAGAGGGGACCCAUGGACCCCCACCCUGGCUGUGCCACGGACGCCAUGGGAGUCACCUGGGCGAUGACACCGGUCAGCCCAGCCCAGGCAGGGGAGGGGCCGGAGCCAGAGAAAAGGAGGGCGUCAGAGCAAAGCAGGUGUGGACUGAGCCGGGCUGCGCGGGGCAGACCAGGCCCUCCAGGAGGUGUGGGCAGGGGCAGGCCCUCCCACAGCCACCUGGGGGCCGGGGACAGGGGCGCUCACCAGCCCGGGUCUCCGGGUCCAGUCUGUGCAGGGCGGCA